AUGGUCAUUGCUCGCGACGUCUUGGACAUUGAUCGCAAGCGCAAUAUCAUCUUCGCUCGCCCAAGGAGUAACCCUCAAACCAUCACGGAGGAGCAUCCAUAUCUAGAACUCACGGGUCCAUCCUGUGCCGUCGUGACAUCUGGCGAUCCAGGGAAAAUCGAGAUCGUGCUCAAAGUUAAGGGUGCAACUGAACCUGAUGAUAGAGAUCUAAGUCUUCUUGUCUUACCGUUGAAGAAUCGUAUGUAUUGUGAAUAUGACAGAUAUUACACUAGCAAGCAUAGCACGAUGGAGCUAACUUUCUGGCACAUUGACAACUCUGUGGAGGCGACAAUCGGUGCACGCCUUAUUGGUGGAUCAUCAUGGCCACAUGGUUUGCAAGGCGUAAUGGUCGCUCGUAUUUCCGAUAUGGAAGAUGCCGAAGUUUCUUUGCUUGCCUUUGGAGGAGGUAAAUUGCAUGUUGUUGCUGAUGAUGGCAUGAUCAAGCUCACACGACGUGUUGUUUCUGUUGAACAUCGUGAUGGAGAGCUGCAAGUUUCUAUCGCUGCACGGUGUGAAAAUGAUGAACAAGUUAUCAGUGUGAGAGAUGAUAUAGUUUUCACACCCAAGAAAAAUGGCAGAACUAGUGGUGUGCUUAAUGUUGGCGCAUGUAAGAUCCAGCUCACUGUUGCCUGGUCACUUUUCAAUUAA
RNAcentral lists this ribosomal RNA (687 nucleotides) under Triticum aestivum (bread wheat). RNAcentral describes it as "partial small subunit ribosomal RNA". The record is from RNAcentral. Lineage: Eukaryota; Viridiplantae; Streptophyta; Magnoliopsida; Poales; Poaceae.